Molecule: non-coding RNA, 94 nt
Organism: Triticum urartu
Lineage: Eukaryota; Viridiplantae; Streptophyta; Magnoliopsida; Poales; Poaceae
Source: Rfam
CAUGUACUCCCUCCGUCCCAAAAUAAGUGGCUUUGAUUUAGUAUAAAGUUGUACUAAAUCAAAGCCACUUAUUUUGGGACGGAGGGAGUAUAUG